CCUUCGAUAGCUCAGUUGGUAGAGCGGUGGACUGUAGAAAGCGCGUUGUAAACAAAAACUCAUACAACACAAAAAUAGUAGUAAUCCAUAGGUCACUGGUUCAAAUCCGGUUCGAAGGA
Molecule: transfer RNA, 119 nt
Filed under: Anopheles maculatus
Lineage: Eukaryota; Metazoa; Arthropoda; Insecta; Diptera; Culicidae
Description: tRNA tRNA-Tyr
Rfam family: tRNA
About the family: Transfer RNA (tRNA) molecules are approximately 80 nucleotides in length.
Source: RNAcentral